GGAGAGCUGGCCGAGUUGGCUGAAGGCGCUCGCCUGCUAAGCGAGUAUAGGGUUAGAUAGCCCUAUCUGGGGUUCGAAUCCCCAGCUCUCCGCCA
Molecule: transfer RNA, 95 nt
Filed under: Coriobacteriaceae bacterium
Lineage: Bacteria; Bacillati; Actinomycetota; Coriobacteriia; Coriobacteriales; Coriobacteriaceae
Also listed under: 2 other names
Description: tRNA-Ser
Rfam family: tRNA
About the family: Transfer RNA (tRNA) molecules are approximately 80 nucleotides in length. Their secondary structure includes four short double-helical elements and three loops (D, anti-codon, and T loops).
Source: RNAcentral